GGGCCCGCACAAGCGGUGGAGUAUGUGGUUUAAUUCGACGCAACGCGCAGAACCUUACCCAACCUUAACUUCCCGAGAACGAAAAGGAAACUUUUCGGUGCCAGCAAUGGAACUCGGUGAUAGGUGCUGCAUGGCUGUCGUCAGCUCGUGUCGUGAGAUGUUCGGUUAAGUCCGGUAACGAGCGCAACCCCUAUCCUUAGUUGCCAAUUAUGGAACUCUAAGGAGACUGCCGGUGUCAAACCGGAGGAAGGUGGGGAUGACGUCAAGUCCUCAUGGCCCUUACGGUUGGGGCUACACACGUACUACAAUGGCAUUUACAGUGGGAAGCAAUACCGCGAGGUGGAGCAAAUCCCCAAAAGAUGCCUCAGUUCGGAUUGUACUCUGCAACUCGAGUACAUGAAGUUGGAAUCGCUAGUAAUCG
Molecule: ribosomal RNA, 421 nt
Filed under: uncultured bacterium
Lineage: Bacteria
Description: bacterial SSU rRNA
Rfam family: Bacterial small subunit ribosomal RNA
Source: RNAcentral